Molecule: ribosomal RNA, 253 nt
Filed under: uncultured bacterium
Lineage: Bacteria
Description: partial 16S ribosomal RNA
Rfam family: Bacterial small subunit ribosomal RNA
Source: RNAcentral
UACGAAGGGGGCUAGCGUUGCUCGGAAUCACUGGGCGUAAAGCGCACGUAGGCGGCUUCUUAAGUCAGGGGUGAAAUCCCGGGGCUCAACCCCGGAACUGCCUUUGAUACUGGCAUUCUCGAGUCCGGAAGAGGUGAGUGGAAUUCCGAGUGUAGAGGUGAAAUUCGUAGAUAUUCGGAGGAACACCAGUGGCGAAGGCGGCUCACUGGUCCGGUACUGACGCUGAGGUGCGAAAGCGUGGGGAGCAAACAGG